UAUAGAAAGGCACAAGAGGAUUGCUUUAAAAGUCAACUUUUAAUCAUGACCGUAAGAAUGAACAUUAAUGUUUCAACAAUACAUUGACUUAAAAGACUGGUUUUGAAGAGAUGUAGGUCAAGAUUUAACCACUCGCUGUAGAAUAUUUUGUAGUUACGAUCUAAAAGUGCCGAAUUUGAGCAACUAAAUGGGCCGCAGGUAACAUUGCACUUUCCAGAUACGAACUCAUCGUACUCCCUCUAGUGAACUGUACCUGCUUGAAGAUGAUGUGAACGUGAAUGAAAAUUUCACAUAAACAAGAUAUAAAUGUUUAAAGACUUACAGCAUCCACCGCUCCACAUCGAAGAGAAGAAGCCGUUGCCAGGAUAGUAAUCAUCUCUUGACAAUGGUGAGGGCUUUACUAACAAGUCUCCGAAUGUAGAUUGAAUGAGCAGAGGCCUGUUCUUCCUCAAUGAUACGGGAAGCAGUCUUGAGUUUUCCACAAUUUCAAUCCUUCUGUUAUUAACGACUGAAAAACACUGCACUAGUUGUCGAACUUUCAUUCAAUAAUUACACUCAUCAUUGUUAUGAAUAGGACCAACAACAGUCGUAUCAUCAGCAAAGUUGAUAAUAUGACAAUCUAGCUUUUUUCCUGAGGAAAGGCGGGUGUGUAGAAUUGGCUGUAAAAGUAGGGGUCUAUACGCUUAUACUGGAUGUGAGCUUAUACCUGAGGAAGUACACUAACAGAAAAAUUCUCACCAAUUGACCACCUGUAUUAUGUAUUUAAUAUAUUCUUUGCGUAGAACAGUAGUAAUGUAAUGUGGUUGGAUUUAUAUAGCGCUUUAUACCGAAGCCUCAAAGCGCUCGAGGUGUGGACUACAGUAGCGCAGUAACAUUCUUCUUCCCAUAAGGGUCUCUUUGUGUCUGAGCUACCUGGUAAACCGGUACCAGCUAUCUCUCAUCUGUCCACAAGCUGUAUGAACCAGUACACCGGGGUAAUCCCCUAUUCGUCUCGAAAGAUGUACUGGGUUCUUUGUAGUGCACACGAGCCAUUGUGUACACUGGGCCUACGGUUUAUAGUUCUUAUCCAAGAAGACUUGUUCCACCACCAGCACCAUGGGCGAGCAUGCUCAUUGGAACCAGCACCAUGGGCGAGCGUGCCGUUGGAACCAGCACCGAUAUUAUGGCUGUAGGUUGCUGCGCCCCUGACUUAAGUGGUCGACCGUCCAAAAGUCAAAUGUCUAUAAAUUAUCAUCAUUGUUUAAAUUUUUCCUUUAUUUUUUUAACUUGACUUGUAGUGCCGUAUAUCUUUAAAUUUAACUAUGUUAUUUAUGACAUCUUUACAUCUUUUAGGAAGACAAUAAUAAUUAAAAAAACACUUGUGUUCAACCUGUUCAUAUAAAUUAUUCCUUUGAUAUUUUCCUACCAGCGCUGAUUUCUAAAAUUUGUCUUUUAUCAAGGCCAACAAGUUUAAUUGAUUUCUCUCCUCAAAUAUUUCAACAUCCCAUAUUUGUGCAAUGUAAUUAUAAUUGGUAUGGACAAGCAAUUCACUGUGAUACCCUUUGAUCUUCAUUUAAAUUAUUUGAAGAUUAAAAUGUUGGCAUAUCACCCAAAGACUUCUGUCCUCUCCAUAUUUUUACCAAUACACUUUGAUAUGUCAUGCAAUAGGAACAGAUAUAAUAUGCUUAAUCAUCUUCUAGUCUUUGAUGGCUGUUUUAAAAGUGUUCAUUCUUAUCCAACUUUCUGACCUCAGAUUUAAUAGCAUUAAAGUAAACAUCAGAAAAACAAAACACAUAGAAAAAUUAUAAUAUUUUUCUCUUUGAAAAUCUGAUAACUAAAUGGUUUUUACAUGUUUUGUAAACUUUUUGUAGGUUUUUAUAAUCUUUAAGUCAGGUCUAAUGGUAUAUGGUAAAAAUUUGAAAAAGUGCAAUAGUAAUUACCAGCAGUGUAAAGAAAGGAAACGUUAUUUCGUUGUUUAUCAUAGAUGUUGUUUACCAACUUAAAAUAAUUUUACAGUUGAUUAAGUAUACUCAGUAGUUAACUAAUAUUUCUUUUCGAAAAUUACAAGUUUUGUGCGCGCUUGUGACGUAUACAAUUAGAUUUAUGAUGACAUCUCAAGUGCAUUGCUCAAUCCAGGUUUAGCAAGAGGCCAUUGUAUUGGAAAGAAUUAGGAUAAAUUCUAAGAUGAGUGCUUCAUUUUACUACUGUACUUGUACUUGUAUAAUAUAGAAUGGCAACUCCUUUAAAAUGGAAAAUUAAUAUAUUAAAAAAUAAUGGGUCAUUCAAUUUGGUAUUUAAUUUCAAUUUUACUUUUCUAAUUUUAAUUCUGUUCAGUUAGUCAUCAAUGCCUGUACAGCAUCUGGAUGAGUUCACAACGGCAGGGGCUGCGAGAUGGAGCAGUACGCCGGGGUAACCCCCCUACUCGUCUCGACAGAUGUACCGGGUUCCUUAUAGUGCACAUGAGCCAAUUAUGUUCACUCAUGGGCCUACGGUUAUAGUCCUUAUGCAAGAAGACUUGUUCCACCUCCAGAACCAUAGGGGAGUGUUCCGUUCGAACCAGUGGUAAUGGCUGUAAGAUCCGGCACUCUUGCCUUAACUGCUCGGCCAUUUAACUCGCCUUUUGAUACUAGUUGAAUUGAUUAAUAUUUUUUAUGUUAAGUUCUCUGAUGAUAACGAAGGUGGAAGACCUCAGCAAGAUGUUUGUUUGGUUAUCAAAGUUAAAGAGGGUUUCAUAGUGCAUGUCAAUGAAUGUUGUUUAUUUUCAAUGACUACAAGCUCAGGUCAUUGUCCCUUUUACUAUCCUAUUGCAUUAUGAGCCACAAAAAAUCUAGUACAUGGUCAAUGCUGUUUAUUUCACCUGGUGCCCUAUUUCUAGUAUAUAUGUACUGAUAUUGAUUCUGAUAACCUGAAUACAAUUUUUUGAUAAUAUAUGAAAAAAAUAGUCUCAAAUAUACCAUAGUUAAUGUAAAAAUAGCAUAAUAUACUAUUUAAUAGUAUAUUGUAAUGUUAUGUUUUGUUAUUUACAAUGACAUCGUGUGUCAUCAGAUUUACCUCUAACGUUAUUUUUCCAUUGUAAAACGCUCAUUAGUUUCUGAUA
RNAcentral lists this long non-coding RNA (3076 nucleotides) under Anneissia japonica. Its description in RNAcentral is "uncharacterized LOC117121402, transcript variant X2". The record is from RNAcentral. Lineage: Eukaryota; Metazoa; Echinodermata; Crinoidea; Comatulida; Comatulidae.